ACUGAGCACUCUCCAACGUGCUAGUGCUGGGUUGUCCCAGCAACCCUGUGAGAGAGGAAGCACGAUGAAUAAUAAACUCCUUUUCUACAGAAGACGAAACAGAGGCCUAAGCCUUGGACGGGAAUCAAAGAACACACUCUUCUAGAGACUCCUCCUCUUCAUCAUCAUCAGAGUACUUUUUCUUUGGGGUCUUUCUCCGCAAACGCCUGCUUUGCCUCAUUGGCCGGGAAGGAUGUCGCCUCAGUCUUCGGCUACAGAAAUCAGUGUCGCUGUCAUCAUUAGACGGUUGCUGUCACUGUCCAGGUCAUUCAGGCGCCGGCGUUUCUUCCGGCGUGCAGCAGCUGCCCUCUGGGGCCGUUU
Molecule: long non-coding RNA, 360 nt
Organism: Hyaena hyaena (striped hyena)
Lineage: Eukaryota; Metazoa; Chordata; Mammalia; Carnivora; Hyaenidae
Exons: 3
Source: RefSeq, a predicted model, not a curated record